This 423-nucleotide ribosomal RNA is filed under the name uncultured bacterium. RNAcentral describes it as "bacterial SSU rRNA". It matches the Rfam family "Bacterial small subunit ribosomal RNA", at positions 207 to 622 of the family's 1533-position model. The record is from RNAcentral.
AAGACCUUGCGCUUUUGGAGCGGCCGAUGUCUGAUUAGCUUGUUGGUAAGGUAAAAGCUUACCAAGGCUUCGAUCAGUAGCUGGUCUGAGAGGACGGCCAGCCACACUGGGACUGAGACACGGCCCAGACUCCUACGGGAGGCAGCAGUGGGGAAUUUUGGACAAUGGGGGCAACCCUGAUCCAGCCAUGCCGCGUGAGUGAAGAAGGCCUUCGGGUUGUAAAGCUCUUUCAGCCGGAACGAAACGGUUACGGUUAAUACCCGUGACUACUGACGGUACCGGAAGAAGAAGCACCGGCUAACUACGCGCCAGCAGCCGCGGUAAUACGUAGGGUGCAAGCGUUAAUCGGAAUUACUGGGCGUAAAGCGUGCGCAGGUGGUUUUGUAAGUCAGAUGUGAAAUCCCCGGGCUUAACCUGGGAACU